AUGUAGUCUCUCAGGGAAGGCUUCCAAAUCUUUGUUUCUUCGGUCCCUUCACCUCCAGAUGAAGGAUGAGUGCUUCUUGCAAGGCAAUCCAACCCCACAAGUGGUAUGACAGGGUUUUUUAGAAGGAAAAAAAGACAGGUGGAAAAGCUCAAAACAAUGAACUGAAGUUUGCAGUCAAAGAGGCACUACAAGAAGUGAACUCAGCUGCAUUUGAAGAAUUACUUGAUGGACUGGCAUUGUGAAUAAGAAGGCAUGUGUGACCGGGAUACUGCUUAACCCAGAAAGGCAAGUAAUUUGACAUCUUUCCUUUUAAAAAAAGGACAUCUUCCAG
Ornithorhynchus anatinus (platypus) is the source of this 331-nucleotide long non-coding RNA. RefSeq lists it as uncharacterized. NCBI's taxonomy places the organism in Eukaryota, Metazoa, Chordata, Mammalia, Monotremata, Ornithorhynchidae. The transcript is spliced from 3 exons. The record is from RefSeq and is a predicted model, not a curated record.